RNAcentral lists this transfer RNA (75 nucleotides) under Acholeplasmataceae bacterium. RNAcentral describes it as "tRNA-Gly". It matches the Rfam family "tRNA". Rfam says of the family: Transfer RNA (tRNA) molecules are approximately 80 nucleotides in length. Their secondary structure includes four short double-helical elements and three loops (D, anti-codon, and T loops). Lineage: Bacteria; Bacillati; Mycoplasmatota; Mollicutes; Acholeplasmatales; Acholeplasmataceae. The record is from RNAcentral. RNAcentral also lists the same sequence under 2 other names.
GCGGGUGUCGUAUAGUGGCUAUUACCUCAGCCUUCCAAGCUGAUGACGUGAGUUCGAUUCUCAUCACCCGCUCCA